GACGAACGCUGGCGGCGUGCUUAACACAUGCAAGUCGAACGGAAAGGCCCUGCUUUUGUGGGGUGCUCGAGUGGCGAACGGGUGAGUAACACGUGAGUAACCUGCCCUUGACUUUGGGAUAACUUCAGGAAAAUGGGGCUAAUAUCGGAUAGGAGCUCCUGCUGCAUGGUGGGGGUUGGAAAGUUUCGGCGGUUGGGGAUGGACUCGCGGCUUAUCAGCUUGUUGGUGGGGUAGUGGCUUACCAAGGCUUUGACGGGUAGCCGGCCUGAGAGGGUGACCGGCCACAUUGGGACUGAGAUACGGCCCAGACUCCUACGGGAGGCAGCAGUGGGGAAUAUUGCACAAUGGGCGGAAGCCUGAUGCAGCAACGCCGCGUGCGGGAUGACGGCCUUCGGGUUGUAAACCGCUUUCGCCGGUGACGAAGCGUGAGUGACGGUAAUGGGUAAAGAAGCACCGGCUAACUACGUG
Molecule: ribosomal RNA, 468 nt
Filed under: uncultured bacterium
Lineage: Bacteria
Description: partial 16S ribosomal RNA
Rfam family: Bacterial small subunit ribosomal RNA
Source: RNAcentral